Long non-coding RNA from Aricia agestis (brown argus), 128 nucleotides. RefSeq lists it as uncharacterized. The record is from RefSeq and is a predicted model, not a curated record. The transcript is spliced from 3 exons. NCBI's taxonomy places the organism in Eukaryota, Metazoa, Arthropoda, Insecta, Lepidoptera, Lycaenidae.
CGAUUUCUUUCUACGGAAGAAUAGACAAAGUGACAGUUAGACAAUGGAGAUCCGCCAUUUUGCCGAUAAAAUCUGUUAGUAUGUCGAUUUUUCCAAUUUCUAAGGUUGUUACGUCGCAGUGCAGGCAG